Molecule: ribosomal RNA, 487 nt
Filed under: uncultured bacterium
Lineage: Bacteria
Description: partial 16S ribosomal RNA
Rfam family: Bacterial small subunit ribosomal RNA
Source: RNAcentral
UGGGGAAUAUUGCACAAUGGGCGAAAGCCUGAUGCAGCAACGCCGCGUGAGUGAUGAAGGUCUUCGGGUUGUAAAGCUCUGUCUUUUGGGACGAUAAUGACGGUACCAAAGGAGGAAGCCACGGCUAACUACGUGCCAGCAGCCGCGGUAAUACGUAGGUGGCGAGCGUUGUCCGGAUUUACUGGGCGUAAAGGGUGCGUAGGCGGAUGUUUAAGUGAGAUGUGAAAUACCCGGGCUUAACUUGGGUGCUGCAUUUCAAACUGGAUAUCUAGAGUGCAGGAGAGGAGAAUGGAAUUCCUAGUGUAGCGGUGAAAUGCGUAGAGAUUAGGAAGAACACCAGUGGCGAAGGCGAUUCUCUGGACUGUAACUGACGCUGAGGCACGAAAGCGUGGGUAGCAAACAGGAUUAGAUACCCUGGUAGUCCACGCCGUAAACGAUGAGUACUAGGUGUAGGAGGUAUCGACCCCUUCUGUGCCGCAGUAAACAC